This 2885-nucleotide ribosomal RNA is filed under the name human gut metagenome. RNAcentral describes it as "bacterial LSU rRNA". It matches the Rfam family "Bacterial large subunit ribosomal RNA". The record is from RNAcentral.
AGCGUACACGGUGGAUGCCCUGGCAGUCAGAGGCGAUGAAGGACGUGCUAAUCUGCGAUAAGCGUCGGUAAGGUGAUAUGAACCGUUAUAACCGGCGAUUUCCGAAUGGGGAAACCCAGUGUGUUUCGACACACUAUCAUUAACUGAAUCCAUAGGUUAAUGAGGCGAACCGGGGGAACUGAAACAUCUAAGUACCCCGAGGAAAAGAAAUCAACCGAGAUUCCCCCAGUAGCGGCGAGCGAACGGGGAGCAGCCCAGAGCCUGAAUCAGUGUGUGUGUUAGUGGAAGCGUCUGGAAAGGCGCGCGAUACAGGGUGACAGCCCCGUACACAAAAAUGCACAUGCUGUGAGCUCGAUGAGUAGGGCGGGACACGUGGUAUCCUGUCUGAAUAUGGGGGGACCAUCCUCCAAGGCUAAAUACUCCUGACUGACCGAUAGUGAACCAGUACCGUGAGGGAAAGGCGAAAAGAACCCCGGCGAGGGGAGUGAAAAAGAACCUGAAACCGUGUACGUACAAGCAGUGGGAGCACGCUUAGGCGUGUGACUGCGUACCUUUUGUAUAAUGGGUCAGCGACUUAUAUUCUGUAGCAAGGUUAACCGAAUAGGGGAGCCGAAGGGAAACCGAGUCUUAACUGGGCGUUAAGUUGCAGGGUAUAGACCCGAAACCCGGUGAUCUAGCCAUGGGCAGGUUGAAGGUUGGGUAACACUAACUGGAGGACCGAACCGACUAAUGUUGAAAAAUUAGCGGAUGACUUGUGGCUGGGGGUGAAAGGCCAAUCAAACCGGGAGAUAGCUGGUUCUCCCCGAAAGCUAUUUAGGUAGCGCCUCGUGAAUUCAUCUCCGGGGGUAGAGCACUGUUUCGGCAAGGGGGUCAUCCCGACUUACCAACCCGAUGCAAACUGCGAAUACCGGAGAAUGUUAUCACGGGAGACACACGGCGGGUGCUAACGUCCGUCGUGAAGAGGGAAACAACCCAGACCGCCAGCUAAGGUCCCAAAGUCAUGGUUAAGUGGGAAACGAUGUGGGAAGGCCCAGACAGCCAGGAUGUUGGCUUAGAAGCAGCCAUCAUUUAAAGAAAGCGUAAUAGCUCACUGGUCGAGUCGGCCUGCGCGGAAGAUGUAACGGGGCUAAACCAUGCACCGAAGCUGCGGCAGCGACGCUUAUGUGUUGUUGGGUAGGGGAGCGUUCUGUAAGCCUGUGAAGGUGUGCUGUGAGGCAUGCUGGAGGUAUCAGAAGUGCGAAUGCUGACAUAAGUAACGAUAAAGCGGGUGAAAAGCCCGCUCGCCGGAAGACCAAGGGUUCCUGUCCAACGUUAAUCGGGGCAGGGUGAGUCGACCCCUAAGGCGAGGCCGAAAGGCGUAGUCGAUGGGAAACAGGUUAAUAUUCCUGUACUUGGUGUUACUGCGAAGGGGGGACGGAGAAGGCUAUGUUGGCCGGGCGACGGUUGUCCCGGUUUAAGCGUGUAGGCUGGUUUUCCAGGCAAAUCCGGAAAAUCAAGGCUGAGGCGUGAUGACGAGGCACUACGGUGCUGAAGCAACAAAUGCCCUGCUUCCAGGAAAAGCCUCUAAGCAUCAGGUAACAUCAAAUCGUACCCCAAACCGACACAGGUGGUCAGGUAGAGAAUACCAAGGCGCUUGAGAGAACUCGGGUGAAGGAACUAGGCAAAAUGGUGCCGUAACUUCGGGAGAAGGCACGCUGAUAUGUAGGUGAAGCGACUUGCUCGUGGAGCUGAAAUCAGUCGAAGAUACCAGCUGGCUGCAACUGUUUAUUAAAAACACAGCACUGUGCAAACACGAAAGUGGACGUAUACGGUGUGACGCCUGCCCGGUGCCGGAAGGUUAAUUGAUGGGGUUAGCGGUAACGCGAAGCUCUUGAUCGAAGCCCCGGUAAACGGCGGCCGUAACUAUAACGGUCCUAAGGUAGCGAAAUUCCUUGUCGGGUAAGUUCCGACCUGCACGAAUGGCGUAACGAUCUCCACACUGUCUCGGCCAGAGACUCGGUGAAAUUGCAGUCGCGGUGAAAAUUCCGUGUACCCGCAGAAAGACGGAAAGACCCUGUGCACCUUUACUAUAGCUUGACAUUGGAUUUUGGGCCUGCAUGUGUAGGAUAGGUGGGAGGCUGUGAACCCUGUACGCCAGUAUGGGGGGAGCCAUCCUUGAAAUACCACCCUUGCAUGUUUAAGAUCCUAACUUCUUCCGGUUAUCCCGGAGAAAGACAGUGUCUGGCGGGUAGUUUGACUGGGGCGGUCGCCUCCUAAAGUGUAACGGAGGCAUGCAAAGGUUCCCUCAGCCUGAUCGGAAACCAGGCGCUGAGUGCAAACGCAUAAGGGAGCUUGACUGUAAGAGAGACAUCUCGAACAGGAACGAAAGUUGGCGUUAGUGAUCCGGUGGUCCCGAAUGGAAGGGCCAUCGCUCAUUGGAUAAAAGGUACGCCGGGGAUAACAGGCUGAUCGCAUCCAAGAGUUCACAUCGACGAUGCGGUUUGGCACCUCGAUGUCGGCUCAUCACAUCCUGGGGCUGAAGCAGGUCCCAAGGGUACGGCUGUUCGCCGUUUAAAGUGGUACGCGAGCUGGGUUUAAAACGUCGUGAGACAGUUUGGUCCCUAUCUUCUGUGGGCGAAGGAGAAUUGAGAGGGCCUGUCCCUAGUACGAGAGGACCGGGAUGGACGCACCCCUGGUGAUCCUGUUGUCGCGCCAGCGGCAUAGCAGGGUAGCUAUGUGCGGAAGGGAUAACCGCUGAAAGCAUCUAAGCGGGAAGCCUGCCUCAAGAUAAGUUCUCCCCUCGAAAGAGCUGAAGGGCCCGGGUAGACUACCCGGUCGAUAGGCUGGAGGUGUAAGCGCGGCGACGUGCUCAGCUGACCAGUACUAAUAGCCCGAGCGGCUUAUUU